This 492-nucleotide ribosomal RNA is filed under the name uncultured bacterium. RNAcentral's name for it is "SSU rRNA". It matches the Rfam family "Bacterial small subunit ribosomal RNA", at positions 26 to 523 of the family's 1533-position model. The record is from RNAcentral.
AGAUUGAACGCUGGCGGCAUGCCUUACACAUGCAAGUCGAACGGUAACAGGUUAAGCUGACGAGUGGCGAACGGGUGAGUAAUAUAUCGGAACGUGCCCAGUAGUGGGGGAUAGCCCGGCGAAAGCCGGAUUAAUACCGCAUACGACCUACGGGUGAAAGCGGGGGAUCGCAAGACCUCGCGCUAUUGGAGCGGCCGAUAUCAGAUUAGCUAGUUGGUGGGGUAAAAGCUCACCAAGGCGACGAUCUGUAGCUGGUCUGAGAGGACGACCAGCCACACUGGGACUGAGACACGGCCCAGACUCCUACGGGAGGCAGCAGUGGGGGAAUUUUGGACAAUGGACGCAAGUCUGAUCCAGCCAUGCCGCGUGCGGGAAGAAGGCCUUCGGGUUGUAACCGCUUUUGUCAGGGAGAAAGCUCCGAACUAAUAUUUUGGGUGAUGACGGUACCUGAAGAAUAAGCACCGGCUAACUACGCGCCAGCAGCCGCGGUAA